Molecule: ribosomal RNA, 306 nt
Filed under: Triticum aestivum (bread wheat)
Lineage: Eukaryota; Viridiplantae; Streptophyta; Magnoliopsida; Poales; Poaceae
Description: partial small subunit ribosomal RNA
Source: RNAcentral
AUGGCGCUCCCUGGGCUUGCUUUUUCUAAUUCUCAGGUCGUCAUGUUGGCAGCAUGCACGGGUCCGCCGGUAACAGCCGGACGACCUUCAAGGGCACGCUUCAUGUAUUCCUUGACGUCGGUGAACCGUAAGCUCAUCGUAAGCUCGUCCUCUAUCAAUAAUCCCUACACGGCAGCUGGCGGCAUGCAACAAGUGGCAGCAGGGGAAGACGAGCAUGAGCUAAAGCUCCUAGGGACAUGGAGGGGCCCUUUCGCGAUGCGAGUGAGGCUGGCGCUCAACUUCAAGGGCCUAAGCUACGAGUACUAG